RNAcentral lists this non-coding RNA (43 nucleotides) under Schistosoma mattheei. Lineage: Eukaryota; Metazoa; Platyhelminthes; Trematoda; Strigeidida; Schistosomatidae. The record is from RNAcentral.
ACAGCUGACGAGUCCCAAAUAGAACGAAACGCGUGUCCUGGAU